CAAUGGCGUAUAUUAAAGACAUUGCGGUUAAAAAGCUCGCACUUGGAACUGCCGAGGACGACCGCUCGGCCCUCUGGUGAUGAUCAUGUUGUCCAUCUUCUUGGAGAACGUAUCUGCACUUGACUGUGUGGUGCGGUAUCUAGGACUUUUACUUUGAGGUAAUUAGAGUGUUUCAAGCAGGCACACGCCUUGAAUACAUUAGCAUGGAAUAAUAAGAUAGGACCUUGGUUCUAUUUUGUUGGUUUCUAGAGCUGAGGUAAUGAUUAACAAGGAUAGUUGGGGCAUUCAUACUUAAAUGUCAGAGGUGAAGUUCUUGGAUUUGUUGAAGACGGACUACUGCGAAAGCAUUUGCCAAGGAUGUUUCAUUGAGCAAGAACGAAAGUUAGGGGAGUCGAAGAC
Molecule: ribosomal RNA, 399 nt
Filed under: uncultured eukaryote
Lineage: Eukaryota
Description: bacterial SSU rRNA
Rfam family: Eukaryotic small subunit ribosomal RNA
Source: RNAcentral